GAUGAAGAACGUAGCGAAAUGCGAUAAGUAAUGUGAAUUGCAGAAUUCAGUGAAUCAUCGAAUCAUUGAACGCACAUUGCGCCCCUUGGUAUUCCGAGGGGCAUGCCUGUUCGAGCGUCAUUAUAACCCCUCAAGCUCAGCUUGGUGUUGGGGCCUGCUGCACUGGCAGCCCUUAAAAUCAGUGGCGGCGCCAUCUGGCUCUAAGCGUAGUAAUUCUUCUCGCUAUGGAGUCCUGGUGGAUGCUUGCCAUCAACCCCCAAUUUUUCUAUGGUUGACCUCGGAUCAGGUAGGGAUACCCGCUGAACUUAAGCAUAUCAAUAAGCGGAGGA
Molecule: unclassified non-coding RNA, 329 nt
Filed under: soil metagenome
Description: partial contains 5.8S ribosomal RNA, internal transcribed spacer 2, and large subunit ribosomal RNA
Rfam family: 5.8S ribosomal RNA (bases 1-120)
Source: RNAcentral